AUGAGUGAUUCAUGCGAGAUAGGUGAUUCAAAUAUUGCGUCUGAUGCCGCGGAACAGGAUGCAGACGAGGAGGGCGAGGGAGUAACCAAUGCAAAUCAAUCUUCUUGGACCAUGAGGGUCAAAGUUGGGAAGGCAACGGAUGAGAGGGAACCGAGCCCUUCAAGGAUGCCUGCCCUUGAAGCUUGUGUCCGUGCAUAUGUCGAUAAAAUAUCAGGAAAUGUUGUCAAUCCAUCGAUUGGGACUAAUUUUGAUUCUGUUGAAAAAGGCUAUGAGUUCUACAAUAUGUAUUCCUGGGAGGUUGGUUUUGGUGUCCGCUAUGCCAAAAGCCAUCUGAAUGUACACCGGAAAACAUCCCAAUUGAGGUACAUGCAUCUCAGGUUUUGUGACGCCCGGAUAAUUAAGCCACAGUAA
This 411-nucleotide ribosomal RNA is filed under the name Triticum aestivum (bread wheat). RNAcentral describes it as "partial small subunit ribosomal RNA". Lineage: Eukaryota; Viridiplantae; Streptophyta; Magnoliopsida; Poales; Poaceae. The record is from RNAcentral.